AUUGAACGCUGGCGGAAUGCUUUACACAUGCAAGUCGAACGGCAGCACGGACUUCGGUCUGGUGGCGAGUGGCGAACGGGUGAGUAACAUAUCGGAACGUAUCCAAUAAUGGGGGAUAACUAAUCGAAAGGUUGGCUAAUACCGCAUACGCCCUACGGGGGAAAGCAGGGGAUCUUCGGACCUUGCGUUAAUGGAGCGGCUGAUAUCUGAUUAGCUAGUUGGUGAGGUAAAGGCUCACCAAGGCGACGAUCAGUAGCUGGUCUGAGAGGACGACCAGCAACACUGGAACUGCGACACGGUCCAGACUCCUACGGGAGGCAGCAGUGGGGAAUUUUGGACAAUGGGCGCAAGCCUGAUCCAGCCAUUCCGCGUGAGUGAAGAAGGCCUUCGGGUUGUAAAGCUCUUUCGCAAGGAAAGAAAACUUACUCUCUAAUAAAGAGUGAGGUUGACGGUACCUUGAUAAGAAGCACCGGCUAACUACGUGCCAGCAGCCGCGGUAA
Molecule: ribosomal RNA, 500 nt
Filed under: uncultured bacterium
Lineage: Bacteria
Description: partial 16S ribosomal RNA
Rfam family: Bacterial small subunit ribosomal RNA
Source: RNAcentral